This 506-nucleotide ribosomal RNA is filed under the name uncultured bacterium. RNAcentral describes it as "bacterial SSU rRNA". It matches the Rfam family "Bacterial small subunit ribosomal RNA", at positions 28 to 527 of the family's 1533-position model. The record is from RNAcentral.
GAUGAACGCUAGCUACAGGCUUAACACAUGCAAGUCGAGGGGUCUCGCGGGAGCUUGCUCCCAAGAGACGACCGGCGCACGGGUGAGUAACGCGUAUCCAACCUGCCCUUCAUAUUGGGAUAGCCUUCCGAAAGGGAGAUUAAUACCGAAUAACAUGAGAAGAUUGCAUGAACCUCUCAUGAAAGCUCCGGCGAUGAAGGAUGGGGAUGCGUUCCAUUAGGUAGUAGGCGGGGUAACGGCCCACCUAGCCGACGAUGGAUAGGGGUUCUGAGAGGAAGGUCCCCCACACUGGAACUGAGACACGGUCCAGACUCCUACGGGAGGCAGCAGUGAGGAAUAUUGGUCAAUGGGCGCAAGCCUGAACCAGCCAAGUAGCGUGAAGGAUGACUGCCCUAUGGGUUGUAAACUUCUUUUAUACGGGAACAAACCCCGGUACGUGUACCGGAUUGCGUGUACCGUAUGAAUAAGCAUCGGCUAACUCCGUGCUAGCAGCCGCGGUAAAGUCG